UUAUAAGACUCCUAUUAAGCAUAAAAAAAUAAUAGCAUACCAUUUAAAAAUAUUAUUAAGAUGUCACACUAUUUUGGGACACUCUGUGUAAUCAAAAAUAUUUUCCUGAAAUGCGUCCAACAAUAUAAAUAACAUCUACGAAAUAUCAAAAGUACAACUUUACUAAUAACUGAGCUACGGAAGACUGGAGUAGUCCAGGGUGAGUCAAUAGUGACUUACAGUCCGGGACAUUUCUAUUUGGACAUAAAAAAUUUGAAUUUUCUGACAUUUAUACGUAUAUUCAGCGUCUAUGUGAACAAAAAAUGUUCUCUCUCUCAUUCUAUGGUCCUUGAGCUUUAAUAACAGGGACAUUUUUUAAAUUGGUAGCAUUAGAAAAUGACAGUAAACAGCUGACUGAUGUAAACAAUAACACAAUAACAAAGGAAAUGUUAUAAUUUUAAUCUAUAUAACCAGUGGCUGCUUUAAAAGUGUGUACUAACGGGAUAAUAAAAUAUUUACGCAAGUAUUUUUGAAGGUAGAAACAUUACUUGUCAUAUAACAAUUAUAGAUUAUAUGAUGAGACGGGAAUGGCACAACACAGAAUUGCAGUCAGUGAUUGUGCUGGAGAAAGCUGCUGUGACGUACUGACAGUACUGACUGUCGCUGGUUGUAUGAUUUGCGCAAUUUGUGAUAUAUUUUGUGUGAAAAACUGGAAAACAAAGUGCAUAACCGCAUAACCUCACUUAUCGCAGUUUUGCACAUUUUGAUGAUGAGAAUUGCGGUUCAAGUAAUUAUGAGUUAUAGAUGGAGCUCACUGUUUACUUCAAACUGAAGCCUUUUGGGUCCACUUUUUUCGUUGUUAUUUCCUGGUAGCGACUCUUGUUUCAAGCAGAAUGGGUGUAAAGUUAAAAAUAAUCCCAUAAAAUUGUUAAUAUAACUCCGUUGCACUGGCAUGGGGUAUUUGAAAACUUACGUUUAACAAAUACGUCACAAAGUCUCAGCCAUCGUCGAAAAACAUCAUAAGGGCUUUAUAACAAGAAGCGCUUUCUGAUUUUACUGUGGACGUGUGGAAGAAUAGUGUGAAAUAUUGCGAAAAACCAACUUUUACUCUUGUUUACAUUUUUGUACGUCUCUAUCUGAGAGUAGUCGUCUUGUAUAAAAAAUAUAGCCUACUAAUAAAGGAAAUUAAAGUGUUUUUA
Molecule: long non-coding RNA, 1178 nt
Organism: Tribolium castaneum (red flour beetle)
Lineage: Eukaryota; Metazoa; Arthropoda; Insecta; Coleoptera; Tenebrionidae
Exons: 2
Source: RefSeq, a predicted model, not a curated record